Alligator sinensis (Chinese alligator) is the source of this 288-nucleotide long non-coding RNA. RefSeq lists it as uncharacterized. The transcript has 3 exons. NCBI's taxonomy places the organism in Eukaryota, Metazoa, Chordata, Crocodylia, Alligatoridae. The record is from RefSeq and is a predicted model, not a curated record.
GGGUGGACUCUAGAAGGCUCCAAGCAAAGCUGCAGCAGUUCUACAAGUGAGAGAAACUGGCAGUGGGGACUCAGAGACAUGGAGCCCAUGGCCACACAGUUACCAAGAAAGAGAAAUAGGUUUAAGAAUGUUGGAAAGUGCUCCGGACAACAAACAAGACGGCUUCUCCCGUCAUGGCGGACUGUGACAACCCAGCGGGAAGAAAACGCAGCAGGGCAGGCAGGUAACAAUAUAUGAAGCACAUUGAGAACCUGCGUUAUCAGAGUAAGAAGCAAGGCACAAAUUGAC